UUGUCCGGAAUUCAUGGGCGUAAAGGGUGUGUAGGCGGUUAAGUAAGAUAGUGGUGAAAUGCCGGGGCUCAACCUCGGAAUUGCCAUUAUGACUAUUUAGCUAGAAUGAUGCAGAGGAUAGCGGAAUACCCAGUGUAGAGGUGAAAUUCGUAGAUAUUGGGUAGAACACCAGAGGCGAAGGCGGCUAUCUGGGCAUUGAUUGACGCUGAGGCACGAAAGCAUGGGGAUCAAACAGGAUUAGAUACCCUGGUAGUCCAUGCUGUAAACGAUGAAUGCUAGUUGUUGGAGGAAUUCAGUGACGCAGUUAACACAAUAAGCAUUCCGCCUGGGGAGUACGGUCGCAAGAUUAAAACUCAAAGGAAUUGACGGGGACCCGCACAAGCGGUGGAGCAUGUGGUUUAAUUC
This 405-nucleotide ribosomal RNA is filed under the name uncultured bacterium. RNAcentral describes it as "bacterial SSU rRNA". It matches the Rfam family "Bacterial small subunit ribosomal RNA", at positions 541 to 952 of the family's 1533-position model. The record is from RNAcentral.